GCAUCGCUGGUUCAGUGGUAGAAUGCUUGCCUACUAGGCGAGCGACAUGGGUUCGAUUUCUGGUCGAUACA
Non-coding RNA from Henosepilachna vigintioctopunctata, 71 nucleotides. NCBI's taxonomy places the organism in Eukaryota, Metazoa, Arthropoda, Insecta, Coleoptera, Coccinellidae. The record is from the annotation of a GenBank genome assembly.